RNAcentral lists this ribosomal RNA (2351 nucleotides) under Escherichia coli. RNAcentral's name for it is "bacterial LSU rRNA". It matches the Rfam family "Bacterial large subunit ribosomal RNA", at positions 593 to 2925 of the family's 2925-position model. Lineage: Bacteria; Pseudomonadati; Pseudomonadota; Gammaproteobacteria; Enterobacterales; Enterobacteriaceae. The record is from RNAcentral.
GUGACUGCGUACCUUUUGUAUAAUGGGUCAGCGACUUAUAUUCUGUAGCAAGGUUAACCGAAUAGGGGAGCCGAAGGGAAACCGAGUCUUAACUGGGCGUUAAGUUGCAGGGUAUAGACCCGAAACCCGGUGAUCUAGCCAUGGGCAGGUUGAAGGUUGGGUAACACUAACUGGAGGACCGAACCGACUAAUGUUGAAAAAUUAGCGGAUGACUUGUGGCUGGGGGUGAAAGGCCAAUCAAACCGGGAGAUAGCUGGUUCUCCCCGAAAGCUAUUUAGGUAGCGCCUCGUGAAUUCAUCUCCGGGGGUAGAGCACUGUUUCGGCAAGGGGGUCAUCCCGACUUACCAACCCGAUGCAAACUGCGAAUACCGGAGAAUGUUAUCACGGGAGACACACGGCGGGUGCUAACGUCCGUCGUGAAGAGGGAAACAACCCAGACCGCCAGCUAAGGUCCCAAAGUCAUGGUUAAGUGGGAAACGAUGUGGGAAGGCCCAGACAGCCAGGAUGUUGGCUUAGAAGCAGCCAUCAUUUAAAGAAAGCGUAAUAGCUCACUGGUCGAGUCGGCCUGCGCGGAAGAUGUAACGGGGCUAAACCAUGCACCGAAGCUGCGGCAGCGACACUAUGUGUUGUUGGGUAGGGGAGCGUUCUGUAAGCCUGUGAAGGUGUACUGUGAGGUAUGCUGGAGGUAUCAGAAGUGCGAAUGCUGACAUAAGUAACGAUAAAGCGGGUGAAAAGCCCGCUCGCCGGAAGACCAAGGGUUCCUGUCCAACGUUAAUCGGGGCAGGGUGAGUCGACCCCUAAGGCGAGGCCGAAAGGCGUAGUCGAUGGGAAACAGGUUAAUAUUCCUGUACUUGGUGUUACUGCGAAGGGGGGACGGAGAAGGCUAUGUUGGCCGGGCGACGGUUGUCCCGGUUUAAGCGUGUAGGCUGAUUUUCCAGGCAAAUCCGGAAAAUCAAGGCUGAGGCGUGAUGACGAGGCACUACGGUGCUGAAGCAACAAAUGCCCUGCUUCCAGGAAAAGCCUCUAAGCAUCAGGUAACAUCAAAUCGUACCCCAAACCGACACAGGUGGUCAGGUAGAGAAUACCAAGGCGCUUGAGAGAACUCGGGUGAAGGAACUAGGCAAAAUGGUGCCGUAACUUCGGGAGAAGGCACGCUGAUAUGUAGGUGAAGCGACUUGCUCGUGGAGCUGAAAUCAGUCGAAGAUACCAGCUGGCUGCAACUGUUUAUUAAAAACACAGCACUGUGCAAACACGAAAGUGGACGUAUACGGUGUGACGCCUGCCCGGUGCCGGAAGGUUAAUUGAUGGGGUUAGCGGUAACGCGAAGCUCUUGAUCGAAGCCCCGGUAAACGGCGGCCGUAACUAUAACGGUCCUAAGGUAGCGAAAUUCCUUGUCGGGUAAGUUCCGACCUGCACGAAUGGCGUAAUGAUGGCCAGGCUGUCUCCACCCGAGACUCAGUGAAAUUGAACUCGCUGUGAAGAUGCAGUGUACCCGCGGCAAGACGGAAAGACCCCGUGAACCUUUACUAUAGCUUGACACUGAACAUUGAGCCUUGAUGUGUAGGAUAGGUGGGAGGCUUUGAAGUGUGGACGCCAGUCUGCAUGGAGCCGACCUUGAAAUACCACCCUUUAAUGUUUGAUGUUCUAACGUUGGCCCGUUAUCCGGGUUGCGGACAGUGUCUGGUGGGUAGUUUGACUGGGGCGGUCUCCUCCUAAAGAGUAACGGAGGAGCACGAAGGUUGGCUAAUCCUGGUCGGACAUCAGGAGGUUAGUGCAAUGGCAUAAGCCAGCUUGACUGCGAGCGUGACGGCGCGAGCAGGUGCGAAAGCAGGUCAUAGUGAUCCGGUGGUUCUGAAUGGAAGGGCCAUCGCUCAACGGAUAAAAGGUACUCCGGGGAUAACAGGCUGAUACCGCCCAAGAGUUCAUAUCGACGGCGGUGUUUGGCACCUCGAUGUCGGCUCAUCACAUCCUGGGGCUGAAGUAGGUCCCAAGGGUAUGGCUGUUCGCCAUUUAAAGUGGUACGCGAGCUGGGUUUAGAACGUCGUGAGACAGUUCGGUCCCUAUCUGCCGUGGGCGCUGGAGAACUGAGGGGGGCUGCUCCUAGUACGAGAGGACCGGAGUGGACGCAUCACUGGUGUUCGGGUUGUCAUGCCAAUGGCACUGCCCGGUAGCUAAAUGCGGAAGAGAUAAGUGCUGAAAGCAUCUAAGCACGAAACUUGCCCCGAGAUGAGUUCUCCCUGACUCCUUGAGAGUCCUGAAGGAACGUUGAAGACGACGACGUUGAUAGGCCGGGUGUGUAAGCGCAGCGAUGCGUUGAGCUAACCGGUACUAAUGAACCGUGAGGCUUAACC